This is a long non-coding RNA of Alligator sinensis (Chinese alligator), 198 nucleotides long. RefSeq lists it as uncharacterized. The record is from RefSeq and is a predicted model, not a curated record. NCBI's taxonomy places the organism in Eukaryota, Metazoa, Chordata, Crocodylia, Alligatoridae. The transcript has 3 exons.
CAUCACCUGGCUGAGCUGCAGCAGGAACACUAGGAGAAAGAAACAGAACCAAAGAGGCUACUAUUUACAAUUUUCAGAAGAUCCUUUUGCAGGACAAACCAAGCACAGGGCUCAAUGGAGUGAAUACAGAUGAUCCUUCCUCACUUCAUAGGCACACAGUGAGGGCUAAGUGAUGUCUACUAGCAACUUGAACAAGUG